Molecule: ribosomal RNA, 254 nt
Filed under: uncultured bacterium
Lineage: Bacteria
Description: partial 16S ribosomal RNA
Rfam family: Bacterial small subunit ribosomal RNA
Source: RNAcentral
UACGUAGGGGGCAAGCGUUGUCCGGAAUUAUUGGGCGUAAAGCGCGUGUAGGCGGCUCGGUAAGUCUGCUGUGAAAGUCCAGGGCUCAACCCUGGAAAGCCGGUGGAUACUGUCGAGCUCGAGUCCGGAAGAGGCGAGUGGAAUUCCUGGUGUAGCGGUGAAAUGCGCAGAUAUCAGGAGGAACACCAAUGGCGAAGGCAGCUCGCUGGGACGGUACUGACGCUGAGACGCGAAAAGCGUGGGGAGCAAACAGG